AACGCACCUUGCGCCCUUUGGCUAUUCCGAAGGGCAUGCCUGUUUGAGUAUCUUGAACACCUCAACUCUCACGUUCCUCGUGAUGAGCUUGGACUUGGGGGCUCUGUUGGCCUGUGGGUCAACUCUCCUCAAAUGAAUCAGCUCGCUGGUGUCUGGCGGCGUCAUGGGUGUGAUAACCGUCUACGCUUGUGAUCGCCUGCAAAGUAAACCUCUGGUCUGCAGAGGUUCGCCGGAGCUUAUAGAUGUCUCUCCUCAGUGAAGACAGCUGUCUGAAGUUCGAUCUCAAAUCAGGUAGGACUACCCGCUGAACUUAA
RNAcentral lists this unclassified non-coding RNA (314 nucleotides) under uncultured fungus. RNAcentral's name for it is "partial contains 5.8S ribosomal RNA, internal transcribed spacer 2, and large subunit ribosomal RNA". Lineage: Eukaryota; Fungi. The record is from RNAcentral. RNAcentral also lists the same sequence under 1 other name.